UACGGUGAAUACGUUCCCGGACCUUGUACACACCGCCCGUCAAGCCAUGGAAGCUGGGUGUACCUAAAGUCGAUAACCGUAAGGAGUCGCCUAGGGUAAACUAGUAACUGGGGCU
This 115-nucleotide ribosomal RNA is filed under the name uncultured bacterium. RNAcentral's name for it is "partial 16S ribosomal RNA". It matches the Rfam family "Bacterial small subunit ribosomal RNA", at positions 1358 to 1482 of the family's 1533-position model. The record is from RNAcentral.